This 253-nucleotide ribosomal RNA is filed under the name uncultured bacterium. Its description in RNAcentral is "partial 16S ribosomal RNA". It matches the Rfam family "Bacterial small subunit ribosomal RNA", at positions 524 to 776 of the family's 1533-position model. The record is from RNAcentral.
UACGUAGGGGGCAAGCGUUGUCCGGAAUCAUUGGGCGUAAAGAGCGUGUAGGCGGCUCGGUAAGUCCGCUCUGAAAGCCCGGGGCUCAACCCCGGGAGGCGGGCGGAUACUGUCGGGCUAGAGUCCGGAAGAGGCGAGUGGAAUUCCUGGUGUAGCGGUGAAAUGCGUAGAUAUCGGGAGGAACACCUGUGGCGAAGGCGGCCCCCUGGUUGGAUACUGACGCUGAGACGCGAAAGCGUGGGGAGCAAACAGG